AGAUUGAACGCUGGCGGCAUGCCUUACACAUGCAAGUCGAACGGCAGCACGGGAGCAAUCCUGGUGGCGAGUGGCGAACGGGUGAGUAAUACAUCGGAACGUGCCCAAUCGUGGGGGAUAACGCAGCGAAAGCUGUGCUAAUACCGCAUAAGAUCUACGGAUGAAAGCAGGGGAUCGCAAGACCUUGCGCGAAUGGAGCGGCCGAUGGCAGAUUAGGUAGUUGGUGAGGUAAAGGCUCACCAAGCCUUCGAUCUGUAGCUGGUCUGAGAGGACGACCAGCCACACUGGGACUGAGACACGGCCCAGACUCCUACGGGAGGCAGCAGUGGGGAAUUUGGACAGUGGGCGAAG
RNAcentral lists this ribosomal RNA (351 nucleotides) under uncultured soil bacterium. RNAcentral's name for it is "bacterial SSU rRNA". It matches the Rfam family "Bacterial small subunit ribosomal RNA", at positions 26 to 380 of the family's 1533-position model. The record is from RNAcentral.